GGGUGUUUUGGCGAUGGGCCUCGCGCAGCGUUUUCUACCGAAAGAUGGCCCUGAGAAAAGGGCGGAUCGAGCGGGUUUCGACGUCCUCGGCACCCU
This 96-nucleotide transfer RNA is filed under the name compost metagenome. RNAcentral describes it as "tRNA-Gly". The record is from RNAcentral.